This 406-nucleotide ribosomal RNA is filed under the name uncultured bacterium. Its description in RNAcentral is "partial 16S ribosomal RNA". It matches the Rfam family "Bacterial small subunit ribosomal RNA", at positions 30 to 526 of the family's 1533-position model. The record is from RNAcentral.
AUUGAACGCUGGCGGCAGGCCUAACACAUGCAAGUCGAACGAGUGGCGGACGGUUGAGUAAUGUCUGGGAAACUGCCCGAUGGAGGGGGAUAACUACUGGAAACGGUGGCUAAUACCGCAUACCAUCGGAUGUGCCCAGAUGGGAUGAGCUGGGAGGUGGGGUAACGGCUCACCUAGGCGACGAUCCCUAGCUGGUCUGGUAGGAUGACAAGUCACACUGGAACGGAGCCACGGUUCAGACUCCUACGGGAGGCAGCAGGGGGGAAUAUUGCACAAUGGGCGCAAUGCUGAUGCAGCCAUGGCGCGUGUAUGAAUAAGGCCUUCGGGUUGUAACGUACUUUCAGCGGGGAGGCGUUACUCGCAGAAGAAGCACCGGCUAACUCCGUGCCAGCAGCCGCGGUAAUAC